This 477-nucleotide ribosomal RNA is filed under the name uncultured bacterium. Its description in RNAcentral is "partial 16S ribosomal RNA". It matches the Rfam family "Bacterial small subunit ribosomal RNA", at positions 29 to 507 of the family's 1533-position model. The record is from RNAcentral.
AUGAACGCUGGCGGCGUGCUUAACACAUGCAAGUCGAACGGGAAUUAUUUUAUUGAAACUUCGGUCGAUUUACUUUAAUUCUAGUGGCGGACGGGUGAGUAACGCGUGGGUAACCUGCCUUAUACAGGGGGAUAACAGUCAGAAAUGGCUGCUAAUACCGCAUAAGCGCACAGAGCUGCAUGGCUCAGUGUGAAAAACUCCGGUGGUAUAAGAUGGACCCGCGUUGGAUUAGCUGGUUGGUGGGGUAACGGCCCACCAAGGCGACGAUCCAUAGCCGGCCUGAGAGGGUGAACGGCCACAUUGGGACUGAGACACGGCCCAGACUCCUACGGGAGGCAGCAGUGGGGAAUAUUGCACAAUGGGGGAAACCCUGAUGCAGCGACGCCGCGUGAAGGAAGAAGUAUCUCGGUAUGUAAACUUCUAUCAGCAGGGAAGAUAGUGACGGUACCUGACUAAGAAGCCCCGGCUAACUACGUG